UACAGGGGGGGCAAGCGUUGUUCGGAAUUACUGGGCGUAAAGGGCUCGUAGGCGGCCGGCUAAGUCCGACGUGAAAUCCCCAGGCUUAACCUGGGAACUGCGUCGGAUACUGGCGGGCUUGAAUCCGGGAGAGGGAUGCGGAAUUCCAGGUGUAGCGGUGAAAUUCGUAGAUAUUGGGAAGAACACCGGUGGCGAAGGCGGCUAUCUGGACCGACAUUGACGCUGAGGCGCGAAAGCGUGGGGAGCAAACAGG
Molecule: ribosomal RNA, 253 nt
Filed under: uncultured bacterium
Lineage: Bacteria
Description: partial 16S ribosomal RNA
Rfam family: Bacterial small subunit ribosomal RNA
Source: RNAcentral